GCAAGUAUCUUACCUUUGCAUUUCCUUUAUGCAAUGGACAUGAGUAAGAGAGUUUCAGAAUUCUUUUCUAUUCCUGUACAGAUUAUGUACGCUUUGAUUAUCAACAUGUUAGCUCAGAUAUAUAUUCUGUUCAUUGAUUUCUAAAUGGUUAUACAAGUGUCCCCACUUGGAUAAUCAUGGCAUUUAUUCAUAUGUUGAUACAGUUUUUCAAUUACCCGUAUACAUAUAUGUUGAAUUACAUAUUAUUGUUGAGCAAGAUUAAAAACCUUCAGGUUUGGAACCAGGCAUGUAUGAACAUCCC
RNAcentral lists this long non-coding RNA (301 nucleotides) under Panax ginseng (ginseng). RNAcentral describes it as "long non-coding RNA (PGIN_LNC003941)". Lineage: Eukaryota; Viridiplantae; Streptophyta; Magnoliopsida; Apiales; Araliaceae. The record is from RNAcentral.